GACGAACGCUGGCGGCGUGCUUAACACAUGCAAGUCGAACGGUGAAGCGCCUUCCUUUUUGGUGGGUGUGGAUGAGUGGCGAACGGGUGAGUAACACGUGAGUAACCUGCCCCCUUCUUCUGGAUAACCGCAUGAAAGUGUGGCUAAUACGGGAUAUUCUGGGUCUGUCGCAUGAUGGGUCUGGGAAAGAUAUUGUUUCGGUGGGGGAUGGGCUCGCGGCCUAUCAGCUUGUUGGUGGGGUGAUGGCCUACCAAGGCGGUGACGGGUAGCCGGCCUGAGAGGGUGGACGGUCACACUGGGACUGAGACACGGACCAGACUCCUACGGGAGGCAGCAGUGGGGAAUAUUGCACAAUGGGCGCAAGGCUGAUGCAGCGACGCCGCGUGAGGGAUGGAGGCCUUCGGGUUGUGAACCUCUUUCGCCAGUGAAGCAGGCCUGCCUCGUUUGUGGGUGGGUUGACGGUAGCUGGAUAAGAAGCGCCGGCUAACUACGUG
This 494-nucleotide ribosomal RNA is filed under the name uncultured bacterium. RNAcentral's name for it is "partial 16S ribosomal RNA". It matches the Rfam family "Bacterial small subunit ribosomal RNA", at positions 28 to 507 of the family's 1533-position model. The record is from RNAcentral.